GCUCACUUCUGCAGCACACAUUCUAAAUUGGAACUAUACAGAGAAGAUUAGCAUGUCCCCUGCACAAUGAUGACAUGCAAAUUCAUAAAGCUCAUAUUUUUUAA
Molecule: small nuclear RNA, 104 nt
Organism: Cavia porcellus (domestic guinea pig)
Lineage: Eukaryota; Metazoa; Chordata; Mammalia; Rodentia; Caviidae
Source: Rfam